AUUGAACGCUGGCGGCAUGCCUUACACAUGCAAGUCGAACGGUAGAAGGAGCAAUCCUUCGAGAGUGGCGAACGGGUGAGUAAUACAUCGGAACGUACCUGGUAGUGGGGGAUAGCCCGGCGAAAGCCGGAUUAAUACCGCAUAAGACCUGAGGGUGAAAGCGGGGGACCGUAAGGCCUCGCGCUACCGGAGCGGCCGAUGUCAGAUUAGCUAGUUGGUGGGGUAAAAGCCUACCAAGGCGACGAUCUGUAGCUGGUCUGAGAGGACGACCAGCCACACUGGGACUGAGACACGGCCCAGACUCCUACGGGAGGCAGCAGUGGGGAAUUUUGGACAAUGGGCGCAAGCCUGAUCCAGCCAUGCCGCGUGCGGGAAGAAGGCCUCGG
This 386-nucleotide ribosomal RNA is filed under the name uncultured bacterium. Its description in RNAcentral is "bacterial SSU rRNA". It matches the Rfam family "Bacterial small subunit ribosomal RNA", at positions 29 to 420 of the family's 1533-position model. The record is from RNAcentral.